GAUGGACGCUGGCGGCGUGCCUAAUACAUGCAAGUCGAUCGAACAGACGAGGAGCUUGCUCCUCUGACGUUAGCGGCGGACGGGUGAGUAACACGUGGAUAACCUACCUAUAAGACUGGGAUAACUUCGGGAAACCGGAGCUAAUACCGGAUAAUAUAUUGAACCGCAUGGUUCAAUAGUGAAAGACGGUUUUGCUGUCACUUAUAGAUGGAUCCGCGCCGCAUUAGCUAGUUGGUAAGGUAACGGCUUACCAAGGCAACGAUGCGUAGCCGACCUGCGAGGGUGAUCGGCCACACUGGAACUGAGACACGGUCCAGACUCCUACGGGAGGCAGCAGUAGGGAAUCUUCCGCAAUGGGCGAAAGCCUGACGGAGCAACGCCGCGUGAGUGAUGAAGGUCUUCGGAUCGUAAAACUCUGUUAUUAGGGAAGAACAAAUGUGUAAGUAACUAUGCACGUCUUGACGGUACCUAAUCAGAAAGCCACGGCUAACUACGUG
RNAcentral lists this ribosomal RNA (497 nucleotides) under uncultured bacterium. RNAcentral describes it as "partial 16S ribosomal RNA". It matches the Rfam family "Bacterial small subunit ribosomal RNA", at positions 28 to 507 of the family's 1533-position model. The record is from RNAcentral.